AGCUCCAAUAGCGUAUAUUAAAGUUGCUGCAGUUAAAAAGCUCGUAGUUGCAUUUCCGAGGCAAUGGAUUAGUCCGACCUUUGGUGGGUAUUUAAUCCUCUUGCCUCGUCCUUGAGUGGUGCUUCUUGGUAUUAAGUUAUCGAGGAGAUAGCCGCUCAUCGUUUACUGUGAGAAAAUUAGAGUGUUCAAAGCAGGCUUAUGCCGUUGAAUAUAUUAGCAUGGAAUAAUAAGAUAGGACCUCGGUACUAUUUUGGUGGUUUGAGAACCAAGGUAAUGAUGAAUAGGGACAGUUGGGGGUAUUCGUAUUCAGUUGUCAGAGGUGAAAUUCUUAGAUUUACGGAAGACGAACUACUGCGAAAGCAUUUACCAAGGAUGUUUUCA
Molecule: ribosomal RNA, 381 nt
Filed under: uncultured marine Chaetocerotaceae
Lineage: Eukaryota; Bacillariophyta; Thalassiosirophyceae; Chaetocerotales; Chaetocerotaceae
Description: SSU rRNA
Rfam family: Eukaryotic small subunit ribosomal RNA
Source: RNAcentral